GGGGCUGUAGCUCAGUGGUAGAGUGCUCCCCUGGCAUGAGUGAGGCACUGGGUUUGAUCCUCAGCACCACA
This 71-nucleotide transfer RNA is filed under the name Marmota monax (woodchuck). RNAcentral's name for it is "tRNA.Ala". It matches the Rfam family "tRNA". From Rfam's summary of the family: Transfer RNA (tRNA) molecules are approximately 80 nucleotides in length. Their secondary structure includes four short double-helical elements and three loops (D, anti-codon, and T loops). The record is from RNAcentral. Lineage: Eukaryota; Metazoa; Chordata; Mammalia; Rodentia; Sciuridae.